CACGAGCCUGCCUCCAGGAAGCUUCCUGGACCUUUCUUCUGCCACCCCCCUCCACCGCAGGCAGACGAUACUCCCUCCACACCAUUUCCUCUGAGUCAACGACCAGCCCAGCGAGUGGCAUGGAGGAGGUCAGCAGAAGCAGGAUCACAUACCCAUAACCUCACUCCCUGGCUGGCUGGAAGUCGGCACGCUGGCCCCUCUGAUCGCAGGCUCUGGAGGCAUAGGAGAAACACCAGGGAAUCAAGAGAGGCCAAAACCCAGCCCAGUACAGAAGCAGACUCUCUGGGGUGGCUCCAGGGCACCAGCGUUUUAAAAAGCUCCCCAGUGGAUUCCAUCGGGCAGGGGGCGUUGAGAACAGCUGCGCCUCCUCCUGGAAAGCAGGCACAGGUUCAUGCUCAAGGAAUGAAGAAUGAGUGAAAGAAUAAAUCCAUGAAUGAUUUUACCUACAGUAACUGAUUCAGCCAUCUCAGUGUCCUACAGGUCACCCUGCAUCUCAAGUGGACAGAGACUCACCCACCUUGCACAGUACCCGCUCUGGAAAUGAAGGCAGGAUGUGAAAUAAAGGACCAGCGAGCUAAGUCUGACUCCAAGAGCCUGGCUAUUUUUUCUCAGGCAUCCUUAGCCAACCUGCCUGUGGUUAUGCCAAAGUCCAGGGAUCUAAGGCUGAGGGUCCUGGGGACAGUCAGUCAGAACUGACAGUGGGACUUUGUCUCUCUCAGUGAGGCCCAGGCCUGCCUGGGGGCUCUCAGGGGGAGGGUCACUAGCACCCAGAACCCACAAUCAAGAGGCUGGUGGACUGUUUAAAGAAACUGUCUGAAUUGCAAUUUUUUUUUUUUGAGAUGGAGUCUCACUCUGUCGCCCAAGCCUGAGUGUAGUGGCGUGAUCUCAGCUCACUGCAACCUUCGCCUCCUGGGUUCAAGCAAUUCUUCUAAGUGCCUGCCACUGUGCCCGGCUAAUUUUUGUAUUUUUACUAGAGAUCGUGUUUCACCAUGUUGUCCAGGCUGGUCUCGAACUCCUGACCUCAAGUAAUCCACCUGCCUCAGCCUCCCAAAGUGUUGGGAUUACAGGAAUGACCCACUGCGCCCGGCCCUGAAUUGCAUUAAAAAAAGUUUAUUCCCCCAUGUUGUCUGGCCCCAAAUCCUGCCAUGGAGAACUGGCUUCAAUAAAUGCCCCCUCUGCCAUUCAUCACUUGAGUCUCACUUCCCUCUCCUGCCUCAGCUCAUACCAUUUAUUACACCCACAGUCUCCAAAUGAACAACUUCUGCAACUUACAAACAUACUUGAGAGCUCCACCUGUCCUCCCCAAUCCAUCAAGGCAACAAAAUUCAUUUCUCCUUGGGAGCCUAAAGAAGCCCAGGCUUGGGGACUAAUUAAGCAUUUCCUUUGAAAUGCAUGCAUGCUGUAGAUUGCUGAGGGUGAACUCCAACCUCUAAUAAAAUAGGAACCAGAUGCCAGGAACAGGAGGUGCACAGCAUCCUGCUAUCAUGGCCAUCACCCAGGAGGGACCCGGCGAGGGGCAGCACAGCCUCUGGAGGGCUCUGGCUAAUGUCAAAGUUCAGGUUCACAGCACCAGCUGGAAUUUUUAUUUUGGCCAUCAUCUACAACAAGGAAUGAGUGCCUCCUGACACCCCCAUGAGCACACCAUACCUCCAGCCUUCAUUCCCCCUUCCCUCCUUAUUUUGCACACUCUGGGGAAUCUGGCUGGAGCUCUAAUUCUCCUGCAAAGCCUUCCUGAAAUACUCAAACCUUGAAGGGACUGUUUCCCCUCCCACUACACCCGAUGAGUACUGCAAAGAUACAGCCCUUGGCCACAGAGUGUCAAUUAUUAUAAUAUUAACCACCA
Molecule: long non-coding RNA, 1843 nt
Filed under: Homo sapiens (human)
Lineage: Eukaryota; Metazoa; Chordata; Mammalia; Primates; Hominidae
Description: HSALNT0038941
Source: RNAcentral